Molecule: ribosomal RNA, 905 nt
Filed under: uncultured bacterium
Lineage: Bacteria
Description: bacterial SSU rRNA
Rfam family: Bacterial small subunit ribosomal RNA
Source: RNAcentral
UCAGGAUGAACGCUAGCUACAGGCUUAACACAUGCAAGUCGAGGGGAAACGAUAUUGGAAGCUUGCUUCCGAUAGGCGUCGACCGGCGCACGGGUGAGUAACGCGUAUCCAACCUGCCCACCACUUGGGGAUAACCUUGCGAAAGUAAGACUAAUACCCAAUGAUAUCUCUAGAAGACAUCUGAAAGAGAUUAAAGAUUUAUCGGUGAUGGAUGGGGAUGCGUCUGAUUAGCUUGUUGGCGGGGUAACGGCCCACCAAGGCGACGAUCAGUAGGGGUUCUGAGAGGAAGGUCCCCCACAUUGGAACUGAGACACGGUCCAAACUCCUACGGGAGGCAGCAGUGAGGAAUAUUGGUCAAUGGGCGAGAGCUUGAACCAGCCAAGUAGCGUGCAGGAUGACGGCCCUAUGGGUUGUAAACUGCUUUUAUAAGGGAAUAAAGUGAGUCUCGUGAGACUUUUUGCAUGUACCUUAUGAAUAAGGACCGGCUAAUUCCGUGCCAGCAGCCGCGGUAAUACGGAAGGUCCGGGCGUUAUCCGGAUUUAUUGGGUUUAAAGGGAGCGUAGGCCGGAGAUUAAGCGUGUUGUGAAAUGUAGACGCUCAACGUCUGCACUGCAGCGCGAACUGGUUUCCUUGAGUACGCACAAAGUGGGCGGAAUUCGUGGUGUAGCGGUGAAAUGCUUAGAUAUCACGAAGAACUCCGAUUGCGAAGGCAGCUCACUGGAGCGCAACUGACGCUGAAGCUCGAAAGUGCGGGUAUCGAACAGGAUUAGAUACCCUGGUAGUCCGCACGGUAAACGAUGGAUGCCCGCUGUUUGCGUCUGACGUAAGCGGCCAAGCGAAAGCAUUAAGCACCCCACCUGGGGAGUACGCCGGCAACGGUGAAACUCAAAGGAAUUGACGGAAGG